RNAcentral lists this ribosomal RNA (745 nucleotides) under uncultured bacterium. RNAcentral's name for it is "bacterial SSU rRNA". It matches the Rfam family "Bacterial small subunit ribosomal RNA", at positions 48 to 805 of the family's 1533-position model. The record is from RNAcentral.
UCUACCAUGCAGUCGAGCGGGGUCCAACCGGUGGCAACACUGGGGAAGACCUAGCGGCGAACGGGUGAGUAACACGUGAGGAACCUGCCCCGAAGACUGGGAUAACUCCGGGAAACCGGAGCUAAUACCGGAUGCCCUCACCAGGUCGCAUGGCCAGGUGAGGAAAUGGAUUCCGCUUCGGGAGGGCCUCGCGGCCUAUCAGCUUGUUGGUGAGGUAACGGCUCACCAAGGCUUCGACGGGUAGCUGGUCUGAGAGGACGAUCAGCCACACUGGGACUGAGACACGGCCCAGACUCCUAGGGGAGGCAGCAGUGGGGAAUCUUGCGCAAUGGGCGAAAGCCUGACGCAGCAACGCCGCGUGGGGGAUGAAGGCUUUCGGGUUGUAAACCCCUUUCAGCAGGGACGAUAAUGACGGUACCUGCAGAAGAAGCCCCGGCCAACUACGUGCCAGCAGCCGCGGUAAUACGUAGGGGGCAAGCGUUGUCCGGAUUUAUUGGGCGUAAAGGGCUCGUAGGCGGCUUGCAAGUCGGAUGUGAAAAUUCCAGGCUCAACCUGGAAGCGCCAUUCGAUACUGCUAUGGCUAGAGACCGGUAGGGGAGCACGGAAUUCCUGGUGUAGCGGUGAAAUGCGCAGACAUCAUGAGGAACACCAGUGGCGAACGCGGUGCUCUGGGCCCGGUACUGACGCUGAGAGCGAAAGCGUGGGGAGCGAACAGGAUUAGAUACCCUGGUAGUCCACGCCGUAA